UACAGAGGUCUCAAGCGUUGUUCGGAUUCAUUGGGCGUAAAGGGUGUGUAGGUGGCGCGCUAAGUCGGGUGUGAAAUUUCGGAGCUUAACUCCGAAACUGCAUUCGAUACUGGCGUGCUUGAGGACUGGAGAGGAGACUGGAAUUCAUGGUGUAGCAGUGAAAUGCGUAGAUAUCAUAAGGAAGACCAGUGGCGAAGGCGGGUCUCUGGACAGUUCCUGACGCUGAGGCACGAAGGUCAGGGGAGCAAACGGG
Molecule: ribosomal RNA, 253 nt
Filed under: uncultured bacterium
Lineage: Bacteria
Description: partial 16S ribosomal RNA
Rfam family: Bacterial small subunit ribosomal RNA
Source: RNAcentral